Molecule: long non-coding RNA, 304 nt
Organism: Ictalurus punctatus (channel catfish)
Lineage: Eukaryota; Metazoa; Chordata; Actinopteri; Siluriformes; Ictaluridae
Source: Ensembl
GUCUUAGUGAAGGAGGUGUGUCCUCUGUGUGUCAGACUCAGUGAAGGAGGUGUGGCCUCUGUGUGUGUUGUCUUAGUGAAGGAGGUGUGUCCUCUGUGUGUCAGACUCAGUGACAGAGGCGUGGCCUCUGUGUGUCAGACUCAGUGAAGGAGGCGUGUCCUGUGUGUGUCAGUCUCAGUAAAGGAGGCGUGGCCUCUGUGUGUCAGACUCAGUAAAGGAGGCGUGGCCUCUGUGUGUGUGUCAGUCUCAGUGAAGGAGGCGUGUCCUGUGUGUGUCAAUCUCAGUAAAGGAGGCGUGGCCUCUG